Pipistrellus kuhlii (Kuhl's pipistrelle) is the source of this 588-nucleotide long non-coding RNA. RefSeq lists it as uncharacterized. Lineage: Eukaryota; Metazoa; Chordata; Mammalia; Chiroptera; Vespertilionidae. The transcript has 2 exons. The record is from RefSeq and is a predicted model, not a curated record.
CCUGAAAUAGGAGGGAGUGGUGAGAAGGGCUACCAAAGGGAGCUUAGGUGACCUCUCAACUUCCCCCUGGUUUUAAAACUUCUCCCCUACCCACUUAUCUGCAGGCCAGUUCCUGUGCAGGCCCCGGAUCACCUCCCAGGGACACCAUUCUGCACUCCUGGCCAAGUCCAGCCCCCUCAGAUGUUGCCAGAGCCACCCAUCCAGUUGCCUUCCUGCCAAGCAACUGGGCAGGGCCCACGUGUGCAGCAGCAGAGACCCCCUCCGGGAGCAGGGGAGGAGGACACUCACCCGGAAGGUGGCACACCACGGGGAUGCCCAGCUUCUUGAGGUCGUCUGCGUUGCCGACGCCAGAAAGCAUGAGCAGCUGCGGGGAGUUGAUGGCACCUCCGCUCAGAAUCACCUCCUUGCUGGCGUAAGCCUGGAAGAGGCAGCGGGCCCGGCAGGUCACACUCCCCUCCCAAAGGCAGACAGACAGAGAACGUGGCCUCGGCGUGGGAGUGGGGAGGAGGAUGCCCAGGGUGCUGUGUGAAAGCUCCCCAUAUGCUCGGCUAUCGCGUGCGCUCAUAAAUAAAUCACGAUUACACUCUG